Long non-coding RNA from Esox lucius (northern pike), 3115 nucleotides. NCBI's taxonomy places the organism in Eukaryota, Metazoa, Chordata, Actinopteri, Esociformes, Esocidae. The record is from Ensembl.
CUCAUUUAAUUCUCCAUUUAUUAUAACAGGUUAAUUAGGCAAGAAUGGUAACAUGACAGCUUUUAACUGGUGAUUCUUAUUAAAUAUUUUUCCCUUGAUUUUAAUAUGCUCAGAUUUUCCAAGCUUACGGUUUGGUUGGAUUUCCUACUGAAAGAAAAGGUUUAACAUACAAGUUAAUGUACUAACUGUUGUUGAGUAGACCUACCCACCCGCUACCUGAUUGUUGUCAGUGAACCAGAUAGCUCUGCUUUUGUGUGUACAUUUUUCUAGGGAAGACAUGAUAUUAGUUUUUUAUGGAAAUUCCGCAUCAAGAAAGAGUAGUUCAUAUCAUUAAUGCAUAUAUCUCUUGAUCACACAGCCAAAAUCUGCAAUAGCUUGGCUAUGCCUUUGUCAUACUUUUAACAAGUGAUUCACAGGUUUGGCGAUACGUAUCUCCUUGAGUCCUGGGCCUGCUUAGUCAAUCAAAUACAGCAUUACAGCAUUUAGCCUCAAGGCCUUUUAAUGUAUCCUCUAGAAGCGUGUUUAUUUCUCUGUUGUUGUUUUCCAUUAAUGUUGUGUUUUUUCUACUGUGAAUAUCAAGAAAUAACCUUAUUAUAUCAAUGCCAUGGAUUGGGUCUGUCUGGACAAUGCAUGCCUCCGCUGGUCAAAGGACUUUUUCCUAAGAAAGCUAGACUAGGACAAUCCUGUGUGCCAUAAUAAACAGUAAAAUGAACUCUAGAUUGUAACUUCUCAGGGAGGCAUGAGCUUGGGGGUAAAAGGAGCUACCUACCAGUCUCUGACUAAAAUGCAAGUUCUCUUGGCAUCCUAGAAAACAAUCUUUUUGGAGAUGUAGCUUACACGACCCUUUGACAAACAGAUGUUCAGCCGGUCAAGAUAAUCAGCGUGAUGACUCGUGAUACGUGGUGUUCACUGCCCCCUGGUGGCUGGAUGUGGAAAUACAGAUGCAGGACAGGAGUGCGGAGCCAGGGUUCUGUCCUAUAGUGCCUUGCUCAGACUGACCGCCCUCCUGACUGCACAGACCCUCUGUGACCUGGACUAGUCAGCUGUGGUCUGCACUGUUGUCUCUUCUCACUCUCCACCACUAGUGGAGAACCAACCCACACACACAUCACAGCAGGACAAGACUGGAUUAUUAAUGUAUUAUGCAUUCUAACCAGAAAAGGGGUGUCUUCUGAACUCGUAGCUGCCACACAGCAAGGAAGGAGGCAACAAACCCUGUCUUCGCUUACCUGGAUGAUUCAUAAUACAACUGUUUGGGGAUAAUUACGUGAACGAUAUUCGUGAUUUUGGCGUAAUAUCAAAAUCUUGUUGUCUCUUCUAGGGGUGAAGCUCUGGCUUGCUUUGUGCAUGAGCCCAACCAUCCCCAGCUGAUAAUUAAUUUGAUGCUUAUAGAAUAUCUCGACCAUCUCUCUUUGUUAAUUAGAGCCUAACACCCAAAGCACAUGGGAUCAUGUAUAAUUAGCAACAGUUAAUUGCAUGACAUGGGGAGAAUAGAACUCCCAUUUAAAAUGCAUAAUAUACAUGUUUUAUUAAAAGAAAUCAAAACUUCAAGACCUGUAAAUAGUGGGAGAUAUUCCCUGAAAAAUGUAAGCACUUGAUUUAGGGAAGUUUAUGUUUAGUUUAAAACUCUGAUAACCUAAUUAUGGGGUUUGACAGAGCAUGCUAGAGAACAGGUUGAGAACAAAGAAUUGUAUGUAUUGUUUUGUUUUAAAAAGAAAAAAGUAUUAUGUUUAGAGAUGUUGAUUUCCAUUUUUAUUUUAUUUUUGCCAUAAUAGGGAGGGCAAAUUUUCUGACUGUAAACUUUUACUACUCUUGUACAUUAUUGAAUUUAACAUUGUUAUCAAUGUAUAUAACUUUUUCUAAAUAAAAUUAAAAAGUUAGAUGUUUUUGCUCAUGACACUAUCCCACUACACAGUGCAGAGCAGGUAACAUUUCUGUAGAUGUACUAUGGAGCAGCACAACUCUGGCCAGAUUGGCUUCCUGUGUAUAAUGACAUAUGUGGCCUGAAACCUUCACUUCAUCAUGUUCUAUGCCAUUUUAAAUGCAUGUUGCAGUUUGUGUGAACAACUGACCCCUACUCCCCCACCAACAGAAAAUACAUAUUUUUAUGUAGCUGACAUUUGCUUUUUGAAGCUAAAAACUGGAAAAGACCACUGCAUGUUUGUUGAGGAAAAGACUAGAUUAAAUAAGCUAUAAAUUGUAUCAGAAAUGAUGGUUACUUCCCAAUCUAAUGUGGGGGUGGUUCUGGUAGUGUUAAUAACACUGCCAUGUUAAGUAAACAUUGCCAUGGGUCAGUAUGAAGGAAAACUCCUACAGCUAUGUGGUAUGUACAAUGUCUGUUAACAGUGUAAUCAUAUUUCAACAUUACUUAUGUACUGUUGUUGUUAACAAAAUACUAGUAGUGACAUUUACAUAAUUGUUUAUGCAAUAACAAUAUACAUUGCCCUUGCUCAUUUGUUUGUUGUUCAUUGUCAAAGUCAACGGUCAUUGAAGCGUUCCAGUUUGGCAGAUGGAUGAGAGGCAGUUACUGGUUGUUUAGUGUGGGUGGCUGUAAUAAUGAGGGUUAAGGGUAAAAUGGAGUCCCAGUCUUGCGGUCUGGUCAGUGGUCUGCUCCAGUUUAUUCAGUUCACUACGUUAAGGUCUCUAGCCCUGUGCUUUUCUAUAGGUGGAGUUGUAGGUGUCUGUGUCGUCCUUGGUUGAAGUCUCUCUUGCCAUGGGUUUUGUCUCUGUUAUAAUUGCUGCUCCUCCCUCUGUGCACAUACAGUAGAUGGCCUCAGAGGGCCCUAUGUAUAGGCUUAGAGGAUACCUCUUUAUGAACCUCUGUCAUGUUAUUGUUAGAGGAUCUGCUGAUGUAUUAAUCAUUAAUACAUUAUGUAUAGAUUAUCUGUCACAGAUGCAUAUACUGGUGUCGUAUAUGUCACACCCCUGUACAACCACAAAGAUGGCUACAUCCCCACACUGGAUCAAAAUGUGCCAUUAACUUCAUGUAUAUCACAUAUAUAAAUAUCACUCACUUUCUCUUCACAUCCACACACAUGUACAGGAUCAAAAUGUGCCAUGACUAAAUAAUGCUUGACAAUUUAUUUUUUCUAUGUUUUAAACGGAGAGCCAAGCA